GAUGAACGCUAGCUACAGGCUUAACACAUGCAAGUCGAGGGGCAGCAUUUCAGUUUGCUUGCAAACUGGAGAUGGCGACCGGCGCACGGGUGAGUAACACGUAUCCAACCUGCCGAUAACUCGGGGAUAGCCUUUCGAAAGAAAGAUUAAUACCCGAUGGUAUAAUCAGACCGCAUGGUCUUGUUAUUAAAGAAUUUCGGUUAUCGAUGGGGAUGCGUUCCAUUAGGCAGUUGGUGAGGUAACGGCUCACCAAACCUUCGAUGGAUAGGGGUUCUGAGAGGAAGGUCCCCCACAUUGGAACUGAGACACGGUCCAAACUCCUACGGGAGGCAGCAGUGAGGAAUAUUGGUCAAUGGGCGCAGGCCUGAACCAGCCAAGUAGCGUGAAGGAUGACUGCCCUAUGGGUUGUAAACUUCUUUUAUAUGGGAAUAAAGUUUUCCACGUGUGGAAUUUUGUAUGUACCAUAUGAAUAAGGAUCGGCUAACUCCGUGCCAGCAGCCGCGGUAAUACGGAGGAUCCGAGCGUUAUCCGGAUUUAUUGGGUUUAAAGGGAGCGUAGGUGGACAGUUAAGUCAGUUGUGAAAGUUUGCGGCUCAACCGUAAAAUUGCAGUUGAUACUGGCUGUCUUGAGUACAGUAGAGGUGGGCGGAAUUCGUGGUGAAGCGGUGAAAUGCUUAGAUAUCACGAAGAACUCCGAUUGCGAAGGCAGCUCACUGGACUGCAACUGACACUGAUGCUCGAAAGUGUGGGUAUCAAACAGGAUUAGAUACCCUGGUAGUCCACACAGUAAACGAUGAAUACUCGCUGUUUGCGAUAUACAGUAAGCGGCCAAGCGAAAGCAUUAAGUAUUCCACCUGGGGAGUACGCCGGCAACGGUGAAACUCAAAGGAAUUGACGGGGGCCCGCACAAGCGGAGGAACAUGUGGUUUAAUUCGAUGAUACGCGAGGAACCUUACCCGGGCUUAAAUUGCAUUUGAAUAUAUUGGAAACAGUAUAGCCGUAAGGCAAAUGUGAAGGUGCUGCAUGGUUGUCGUCAGCUCGUGCCGUGAGGUGUCGGCUUAAGUGCCAUAACGAGCGCAACCCUUAUCUUUAGUUACUAACAGGUCAUGCUGAGGACUCUAGAGAGACUGCCGUCGUAAGAUGUGAGGAAGGUGGGGAUGACGUCAAAUCAGCACGGCCCUUACGUCCGGGGCUACACACGUGUUACAAUGGGGGGUACAGAAGGCAGCUACCUGGUGACAGGAUGCUAAUCCCAAAAGCCUCUCUCAGUUCGGAUCGAAGUCUGCAACCCGACUUCGUGAAGCUGGAUUCGCUAGUAAUCGCGCAUCAGCCAUGGCGCGGUGAAUACGUUCCCGGGCCU
Molecule: ribosomal RNA, 1359 nt
Filed under: uncultured bacterium
Lineage: Bacteria
Description: bacterial SSU rRNA
Rfam family: Bacterial small subunit ribosomal RNA
Source: RNAcentral